GGUUGUGCAUGGGUUCUCCUCUAUCAUGUGAAAGAGGUUUCUGCUGUAUGUGCAGUGCUUAUAAUGGGGAAGAUGGAGAAAAGGGGAUAGAAGCUCCUUUUCCGAUCUGACUUUGAUCUUACUGUAAUUGCUUUUGGUGGCCAGGUGCUGGGGUGCAUAGAUGGAACUGCUGAGUCAGAGCAUGCCACAGAGGGGAGGAGAGCAUGUGUCUGCGGUUGGUGGGGUCUGCAGUGGUGACCCAUGGCCUCCAUGGAGCACAGUGACAUGGUUGCCAUGGCAUCUGCUGUGCUUGGUCAGAGGUGACUAGCCAUGCUGCAGGAAUUGGACCCGCAGCCCCUCUCCAGUGUCCUCCUGUUGCUGAUACAGCCAUACAGGUUCAGUCUGGCCCUACCCUCAUGAGAAUUUCACUGGGAGGAGGAAGUGACUUUUUUGUUUUCUAUUUUGCUAUAUGUGCUUCCUACAGGAGAAAACAAGAAAUUGAAGAAAAAAUAAAAAAUAAAUGGAAGGAAAUUAACAUGAAACGGAAAAGUAUUCUGAUGACAAGAUUCAAGCAGAAAUAGUAAAGGAACUAGCUGGAGAAAGGAAAGAAGAAGGGCACUUCAGCAUGGAGAGUGGUGGAUUAAGCUGAGGAAGUGACCUCCCGGUAGAGCAGAAGAGUGAAUUACAGGUGAAGGAUGAGUCAGAGGGAAGCUGGUGGGGUUUCCCAGGGAAGGUGUUUGUGCCUGCACCUUCUGACCUCAGUCCAAGGGGUAAAAGAGAGCCCUGUGUAUGUGUUCGGAAAACUACAACUCAUUUG
Molecule: long non-coding RNA, 796 nt
Filed under: Fukomys damarensis (Damara mole-rat)
Lineage: Eukaryota; Metazoa; Chordata; Mammalia; Rodentia; Bathyergidae
Description: lncRNA (ENSFDAG00000025852.1)
Source: RNAcentral